UUGAACGCUGGCGGCAGGCCUAACACAUGCAAGUCGAACGGUAACAGGAAGAAGCUUGCUUCUUUGCUGACGAGUGGCGGACGGGUGAGUAAUGUCUGGGAAACUGCCUGAUGGAGGGGGAUAACUACUGGAAACGGUAGCUAAUACCGCAUAACGUCGCAAGACCAAAGCGGGGGACCUUCGGGCCUCUUGCCAUCGGAUGUGCCCAGAUGGGAUUAGCUAGUAGGUGGGGUAACGGCUCACCUAGGCGACGAUCCCUAGCUGGUCUGAGAGGAUGACCAGCCACACUGGAACUGAGACACGGUCCAGACUCCUACGGGAGGCAGCAGUGGGGAAUAUUGCACAAUGGGCGCAAGCCUGAUGCAGCCAUGCCGCGUGUAUGAAGAAGGCCUUCGGGUUGUAAAGUACUUUCAGCGGGGAGGAAGGGAGUAAAGUUAAUACCUUUGCUCAUUGACGUUACCCGCAGAAGAAGCACCGGCUAACUCCGUG
This 489-nucleotide ribosomal RNA is filed under the name uncultured bacterium. RNAcentral describes it as "partial 16S ribosomal RNA". It matches the Rfam family "Bacterial small subunit ribosomal RNA", at positions 30 to 507 of the family's 1533-position model. The record is from RNAcentral.